AUCUAUAAGUCUUGACCAAAUUACGUGCCAGCAGUCGCGGUAACACGUAGAAGACUAGUGUUAUUCAUCUUUAUUAGGUUUAAAGGGUACCUAGACGGAAAAUCAAGCCAUAAUAGGGACUAAUUUUCUAGAGUUUUAUGAGAGAAGGGGUGAAUUUCCGGAGGAAAGUUGAUAUUUAGUGAUACUGGAAGGACGGGUAACGGCGAAGGCAACCUUGUAUGUAAAAACUGACGUUGAGGGACGAAGCCUUGGGUAACGAGAAGGAUUAGAUACCCUAGUAGUCCUUGGAGACAAUUAUGAAUGUCAUAGGCUAGAUAAUUUAGCCUAUAAAUGAAAGUGUAAGCAUUCCACCUCAUGAGUAAAGCGGCAACGCCCAAAUUGAAAUCAUUAGACCGUUUCUGAAACCAGUAGUGAAGUAUGUUAUUUAAUUCGAUGAUCCGCGAAUAACCUUACCACGCAUUGAAUAUUAUUCAAUUAUUACAAGCGCUGCACGGCUGUCUUCAGUUAAUGUCGUGAGAUUUUGGUUCGUUCCUUUAAUUAACGAAAACCCUUGCUUUAUUUGUUUUUAAAGUAGUUCACCGUGAUAUUGGAUGAGAUAAUAGGGACUAAGACAAGUCAUCAUG
Molecule: ribosomal RNA, 623 nt
Filed under: Chaetothyriales sp.
Lineage: Eukaryota; Fungi; Ascomycota; Eurotiomycetes; Chaetothyriales
Description: bacterial SSU rRNA
Rfam family: Bacterial small subunit ribosomal RNA
Source: RNAcentral